RNAcentral lists this long non-coding RNA (431 nucleotides) under Anas platyrhynchos platyrhynchos (common mallard). RNAcentral's name for it is "lncRNA (ENSAPLG00000023920.1)". Lineage: Eukaryota; Metazoa; Chordata; Aves; Anseriformes; Anatidae. The record is from RNAcentral.
AUGCAGAAGAGUCUGAUUCUUCCAUCGAACCCAGAUAUCACUUGGAACCAGCUUCGUAUGUUACAUGCAUACUGUCUUCUUGUUUGGAUUGUUGGUGAAAUAUUAAGGAGACAGAUACCUGGAAGCUGGUAUGCAGGAGAUAAAGAGAAAAGUUGGACAGAGACCAGAAAAUGUUCAAAAGAAAAACUAGAUGCAUAUGUCCAGGCACAUUUUUCUCCAAACAAAAGAAAAAAAUAUCAAAAUGAAUGAUACAAAGGAAUUUUGACCUCCACAGAUUAAAGAAACAUGCACACAAACAUACUGAUUUGCUGUUGGUUGCUUCUUAGUAACCUUUAGGUUCAAGGUGUGGUAUUUCUUAGUAUUUCAAGGUACAGUAAGGUUUCACUGCAUCAUCCAAUAAAAGGACAGUAUUCACAAAACUGGAAAUAAUU